RNAcentral lists this transfer RNA (80 nucleotides) under Camelus bactrianus (Bactrian camel). It matches the Rfam family "tRNA". Rfam says of the family: Transfer RNA (tRNA) molecules are approximately 80 nucleotides in length. Their secondary structure includes four short double-helical elements and three loops (D, anti-codon, and T loops). RNAcentral also lists the same sequence under 3 other names. The record is from Rfam by way of RNAcentral. Lineage: Eukaryota; Metazoa; Chordata; Mammalia; Artiodactyla; Camelidae.
GAGGGUAUAGCUCAGUGGCAGAGUGCCUGCUUAGCAGCUUAGCAUGCGUGAGGUCCUGGGUUCAAUCCCCAGUACCUCCA